RNAcentral lists this transfer RNA (49 nucleotides) under Rhinoclemmys punctularia. RNAcentral's name for it is "partial tRNA-Thr". The record is from RNAcentral. Lineage: Eukaryota; Metazoa; Chordata; Testudines; Geoemydidae.
CAGUCUUUGGUUUACAAGACCAAUGCUUUAUUAGUUAAGCUACUAGAGU